GUACCAUUUCUUCCCUGGUGAAAGACUUUACAACCCGAAGGCCUUCUUCACUCACGCGGAAUGGCUGGAUCAGGGUUGCNCCCAUUGUCCAAAAUUCCCCACUGCUGCCUCCCGUAGGAGUCUGGGCCGUGUCUCAGUCCCAGUGUGGCUGGUCGUCCUCUCAGACCAGCUACUGAUCGUCGCCUUGGUGAGCCUUUACCUCACCAACUAGCUAAUCAGAUAUCGGCCGCUCCA
RNAcentral lists this ribosomal RNA (234 nucleotides) under uncultured Nitrosospira sp. B6. RNAcentral describes it as "partial 16S ribosomal RNA". The record is from RNAcentral. Lineage: Bacteria; Pseudomonadati; Pseudomonadota; Betaproteobacteria; Nitrosomonadales; Nitrosomonadaceae.